CUACUACUACUACUACUACUACUAUUGUAGAUACCACUUGUUGACGAUGACCGGGCGUCGCGUUACUCGUCUCGACGACUCGAUUUAAACCGUAAUUUGAUACCUAUUGUUUUUGAUUUUGUUUUUUAUUUUUGUUUUGCGUACGCAAAACCAACGUUCGCAUAUAUACACACACACACACACAUAUAUAUACAUAUAUUUAUUUAUAAUAAUAACUGUAUUCGAUAUUUCCGCACGUUUAUCUCGUGCAAUAUUUAUACAAUUGUCGUUUCACGACAUGUUUCGACACACUCGAUAUUGACAUUCGGUACUUUUCGUUAUCCACGCGUGUGUCACUCCCGGGGGCGGGACGCUCCGUUGACAUUUGCGCGUGCGCACGUCCCGGCGUGCGAUUCGUAUCCAACGGGCGAUUGUUGAAAUCAUAUUCGUUUUAUCGACUCCCAGUCAGUGAAGAGAAAAAAAAAAAAAAAACAAAAAAAAACUGUAUAGGAACGCGUUUACGGUACACCGUUUAAAAUACCACUAUCCGUUAAUUUCGAAUGUUUAGAUUGAAAAACAAAAAGAACGUUUCAUUAUUGUUUUUUUUUUUUUUUUCUUUUUAUCUUUUAUUUAUUUAUUACUAUUAUUAUUUUUAUUAUUAUUAGUACCUAUUAGUGUCCUAUAUUAUGUUUUAGAUACCUAACUCGUGUUGUGAUCGUAAUAAUAUACUAUUUAUUUUGUUUUAUCUCUCCAACACCCCCAUUUUCGGGACGGUUAAUGAACACAAUUACACUUGUGAAACCCGUCGUGUGUUUACGUUAGUUUAAACGAUUAUUAUAAUUUUUUUUUUUUUUUUUUUUUUUUUUAUUAUGCCUACAGUUUUAGAACGUUAUUUUUUUUUCUGAAUUAUUAUACAAUUGAAUAGGUAUGAUUGAACUCACUAUUGUAGUGUACAUAGUUUGUAGAACGACGAUUAUUUGACUUGUAUUAAUUUAUGUAUUUUUUUUUUUUUUUCUAAUAUUAGCGUUGUGUGUUAUUAUACUAUUAUACCCUUAAAUUGGCAAACAUCAAAUGAAAAAUUUAACAAAAUAAUCUAUGAAAAAUACCGAUAGCUUCGAACACCCCGUAUCUAAUAACCAGAGAAAAAUAAAAAACUAUUUUUAAUUUGUAUUUUAAAAGUGGCAUUGUUAAAAAAAAAUAUAAUAUCACACAUCCAUUUUAUUUCCGCCGUUUAAUUAGAAAGAAGUGCCCAAUGAGUAUAUUAUUUUUCCGAUUGUGAGAAAAUCUUUGAAACAAUAUUUUCUUUCUUUAUUCAGAACAAAGUUUAUCAACAUUCGGUUGCUUACAGUACUUAUAAUUUUUUUUUUUUAUUAUUAAACAAUGUAACAAUUAAAAACUACUGUUUUACUGUCUGUAUUAUAAGAAUUUCCAUUUGAAAACAUUUACCGUUAAAAAUUGAUACAACUUAUAAUAUUAUAAUGCCAAGUUAAGGGUUAGUAUCUAUUAUUAUUUAUGUUUCAAAAACUAUCGUUGUAUCAUUGAUCAAUGUAUCAUGCAUAUCUUUGGGUAUCUAUACCAAAUACCAAAUCGUGGUGCACGUUUUUUUUUUUUUCGCUAGUUUUUAAGUAUUUUUCUAUUUUUUCUUUUUGAUUUUCAGAAUUAUUAAUAACGAUUAUGAGUAUAACGUUGUCAUUGUUUGGGCGACAUCAAAUUUAAAAGAUGAAAACAAUAAAAUAUUGUCAUUAUAAAUAUUAUUACUGUAAUACCACGUGUGAGUUGUUUUAUAUUGGCUUGUAAUGAGUAUAUUGUCACUCAUAUAGGUACAAUUACGUUGUAAGCUCAUACCUAUAAUUAAUAAUUUGGAAAAAAGAACGCCCCAAACAAGUUAAAUUCCUACAUUUUAAUCCUAU
Molecule: non-coding RNA, 1889 nt
Organism: Cinara cedri
Lineage: Eukaryota; Metazoa; Arthropoda; Insecta; Hemiptera; Aphididae
Source: the annotation of a GenBank genome assembly